UGGGGAAUAUUGCACAAUGGGCGCAAGCCUGAUGCAGCCAUGCCGCGUGUAUGAAGAAGGCCUUCGGGUUGUAAAGUACUUUCAGCGGGGAGGAAGGGAGUAAAGUUAAUACCUUUGCUCAUUGACGUUACCCGCAGAAGAAGCACCGGCUAACUCCGUGCCAGCAGCCGCGGUAAUACGGAGGGUGCAAGCGUUAAUCGGAAUUACUGGGCGUAAAGCGCACGCAGGCGGUUUGUUAAGUCAGAUGUGAAAUCCCCGGGCUCAACCUGGGAACUGCAUCUGAUACUGGCAAGCUUGAGUCUCGUAGAGGGGGGUAGAAUUCCAGGUGUAGCGGUGAAAUGCGUAGAGAUCUGGAGGAAUACCGGUGGCGAAGGCGGCCCCCUGGACGAAGACUGACGCUCAGGUGCGAAAGCGUGGGGAGCAAACAGGAGUAGAUACCCUGGUAGUCCACGCCGUAAACGAUGUCGACUUGGAGGUUGUGCCCUUGAGGCGUGGCUUCCGGAGCUAACGCGUUAAGUCGACCGCCUGGGGAGUACGGCCGCAAGGUUA
RNAcentral lists this ribosomal RNA (549 nucleotides) under uncultured bacterium. RNAcentral describes it as "bacterial SSU rRNA". It matches the Rfam family "Bacterial small subunit ribosomal RNA", at positions 355 to 896 of the family's 1533-position model. The record is from RNAcentral.